This is a long non-coding RNA of Alexandromys fortis (reed vole), 460 nucleotides long. RefSeq lists it as uncharacterized. The transcript is spliced from 3 exons. The record is from RefSeq and is a predicted model, not a curated record. Lineage: Eukaryota; Metazoa; Chordata; Mammalia; Rodentia; Cricetidae.
CUCCAUUCCACCCUGCAAGCCCCACACAUGGUCACUUGCAAUGCCAAAGCCCGUGGCUCUCGGAGCGACUGGUGGGGUAGAGAGCAACUCUUCAGUGCACACCCUUAGGAAUGGAUGGAGAGAUGCUUUUGACAAGAGGGCUGCAUGGCUGAGACUGGGUUUCAGGAGGCCUGAGCUGUCUGUUUUGUACUGAAAUAUAUAGCUUCUAAUAUGUUCAGCCCUGGGGCACCCCUUCUGGAGAGCCAGGAGCAGAGGAACCGCUAGACUAAAGCGACGAGCUGCUUCCCUGAUGGCUGGGCUCACCUGGCGGUGGUGGUGGUGAGGGAACGCUGUGGUUUGCUCUAGAUCUGUAACUGGGAAGCUUGGGGACAAGUGUUUAUGUUCAGAGGCUUAAAGACACCCUCCCUUUAGAUCCUAAAUUACCUAAAUUAUCCUGCCCAGUGUUAAAGAUAUUAACUCA